AUGCUCCCUUUGGCAGCGCAUAUACUACAAUUGGAGCGAUACAGAGAAGAUUAUCAUGGCCUCUGUGCAGAAACCUCCAGAGACAGAAUCCCAUUUC
This is a small nuclear RNA of Mesocricetus auratus (golden hamster), 97 nucleotides long. The record is from Ensembl. Lineage: Eukaryota; Metazoa; Chordata; Mammalia; Rodentia; Cricetidae.